AGCCACUGCUAUCGGGCUCCGACUAAGCCAUGCGAGUUAAGGGGUUCCUUCGGGAGCACCGGCGGACGGCUCAGUAACACGUGGACAACCUAACCUCGGGUGGGGGAUAACCUCGGGAAACUGAGGCUAAUACCCCAUAGGUCUCGGGUACUGGAAGGUCCUGAGGCCGAAAGCUUCGGCGCCCGAGGAUGGGUCUGCGGCCUAUCAGGUAGUUGGUGGUGUAAAGGACCACCAAGCCGAAGAUCGGUACGGGCCAUGAGAGUGGGAGCCCGGAGAUGGACACUGAGACACGGGUCCAGGCCCUACGGGGCGCAGCAGGCGCGAAACCUCCGCAAUGCGGGCAACCGCGACGGGGGGACCCCCAGUGCCGUGGCAUCGCCACGGCUUUUCCGGAGUGUACAGAGCUCCGGGAAUAAGGGCUGGGCAAGGCCGGUGGCAGCCGCCGCGGUAAUACCGGCGGCCCGAGUGGUGGCCGCUAUUAUUGGGCCUAAAGCGUCCGUAGCCGGGCCUGUAAGUCCCUGGCGAAAUCCCACGGCUCAACCGUGGGGCUUGCUGGGGAUACUGCAGGCCUUGGGACCGGGAGAGGCGGAGGGUACUCCUGGGGUAGGGGUGAAAUCCUAUAAUCCCAGGAGGACCGCCAGUGGCGAAGGCGCUCCGCUGGAACGGGUCCGACGGUGAGGGACGAAGGCCAGGGGAGCGAACCGGAUUAGAUACCCGGGUAGUCCUGGCUGUAAAGGAUGCGGGCUAGGUGUCGGGUGAGCUUCGUGCUCGCCCGGUGCCGAAGGGAAGCCGUUAAGCCCGCCGCCUGGGGAGUACGGCCGCAAGGCUGAAACUUAAAGGAAUUGGCGGGGGAGCACUACAAGGGGUGGAGCGUGCGGUUU
This 881-nucleotide ribosomal RNA is filed under the name uncultured archaeon. RNAcentral's name for it is "bacterial SSU rRNA". It matches the Rfam family "Archaeal small subunit ribosomal RNA", at positions 21 to 903 of the family's 1478-position model. The record is from RNAcentral.